AUUGAACGCUGGCGGCAGGCUUAACACAUGCAAGUCGAACGGUAACAUAAAGGAGCUUGCUUCUUUGAUGACGAGUGGCGGACGGGUGAGUAAUGCUUGGGAAUCUAGCUUAUGGAGGGGGAUAACUACGGGAAACUGUAGCUAAUACCGCGUAGAAUCGGGAGAUGAAAGUGUGGGACCUUCGGGCCACAUGCCAUAGGAUGAGCCCAAGUGGGAUUAGGUAGUUGGUGAGGUAAAGGCUCACCAGGCCGACGAUCUCUAGCUGGUCUGAGAGGAUGACCAGCCACACUGGGACUGAGACACGGCCCAGACUCCUACGGGAGGCAGCAGUGGGGAAUAUUGCGCAAUGGGGGCAACCCUGACGCAGCCAUGCCGCGUGAAUGAAGAAGGCCUUCGGGUUGUAAAGUUCUUUCGGUAGCGAGGAAGGCAUUUAGUUUAAUAGACUAGGUGAUUGACGUUAACUACAGAAGAAGCACCGGCUAACUCCGUG
This 490-nucleotide ribosomal RNA is filed under the name uncultured bacterium. RNAcentral describes it as "partial 16S ribosomal RNA". It matches the Rfam family "Bacterial small subunit ribosomal RNA", at positions 30 to 507 of the family's 1533-position model. The record is from RNAcentral.